CCCUUAGAUGUUCUGGGCCGCACGCGCGCUACACUGACGAUGGCAACGAGUUUUUCCUUCGCCGAAAGGUGUGGGUAAUCUUUUGAAACAUCGUCGUGCUGGGGAUAGAUCAUUGCAAUUUUUGAUCUUGAACGAGGAAUUCCUAGUAAGCGCGAGUCAUCAGCUCGCGUUGAUUACGUUCCUGCCCUUUGUACACACCGCCCGUCGCUACUACCGAUUGAAUGGUUUAGUGAGGACUCCUGAUUGGCGCCGCCGCCCCGGCAACGGAGCAGCGGACUGCCGAAAAGUUGUUCAAACUUGAUCAUUUAGAGGAAGUAAAAGUCGUAACA
RNAcentral lists this ribosomal RNA (329 nucleotides) under uncultured eukaryote. RNAcentral's name for it is "partial 18S ribosomal RNA". It matches the Rfam family "Eukaryotic small subunit ribosomal RNA", at positions 1470 to 1796 of the family's 1831-position model. The record is from RNAcentral.